This 253-nucleotide ribosomal RNA is filed under the name uncultured bacterium. RNAcentral describes it as "partial 16S ribosomal RNA". It matches the Rfam family "Bacterial small subunit ribosomal RNA", at positions 524 to 776 of the family's 1533-position model. The record is from RNAcentral.
GACAGAGGUCUCGAGCGUUAGGCGGAAUCACUGGGCUUAAAGCGUGUGUAGGCGGACUUCUAAGUGCCUUGUGAAAUCCCACGGCUCAACCGUGGAACUGCUGGGCAUACUGGUUGUCUUGGGCCAUCUAGGGGCUACUGGAACAAACGGUGGAGCGGUGAAAUGCGUAGAUAUCGUUUGGAACGCCAACGGUGAAAACAGGUUGCUGGGGGUGUGCUGACGCUGAGACACGAAAGCCAGGGGAGCGAACGGG